This is a long non-coding RNA of Tripterygium wilfordii, 318 nucleotides long. RefSeq lists it as uncharacterized. NCBI's taxonomy places the organism in Eukaryota, Viridiplantae, Streptophyta, Magnoliopsida, Celastrales, Celastraceae. The transcript has 3 exons. The record is from RefSeq and is a predicted model, not a curated record.
AGAGAUGGCUGUGCUAGGGUUUGAAGAUUUGGGCAAGGUUGAUUGGGCUUGGAAGAGUGGUGGAGUUUUACCCAAACGAGGUGAUAUAGGUACUAGCGCUAGUGCUCCGACCACGGAUCAGCAGGGAGGCGCGUGACGUGGAUGGCCUGGACUAGUGUUGGUGUGGUGGUUUGCUUUUAUUAUGUUUAAGUAGUGUUUAUGUUAUGGAUGAAUGAUGAUUUUGGUUGGUUAGGCUUGAGGCCUUGGUAUGUACAUGCGUAUAGGAUUUAUGAUUUGGGAUGAUAUGGACUGAGGCCCUGGAUGAUUAUUUUGGUGGUA